This 1485-nucleotide ribosomal RNA is filed under the name Triticum aestivum (bread wheat). RNAcentral describes it as "partial small subunit ribosomal RNA". The record is from RNAcentral. Lineage: Eukaryota; Viridiplantae; Streptophyta; Magnoliopsida; Poales; Poaceae.
AUGACCGACAUCACGGCGGCCGGUGGCGACCCGCCGCGCGCGCCGGUGGACCUCGUGACGGUUCUCGAUGUGAGUCAUAGUAUGAGCGGGCAAAAAUUGACGCUGUUGAAGCAGGCCAUGCGGUUCGUCAUCGCCAAUCUCAGCCCCGACGACCGCCUCUCCGUCGUGUCCUUCAACAUGAAGGCGCGCCGGGUGACCAGGCUCGUGCGCAUGUCGGAGGCCGGCAAGGCCCUGUCCGUGAGCGCCGUGGAGUCCCUCACGGCGGGCGGCUGCACCGACAUCGCCGAGGGGCUCCGUAUGGCAGCCAUGGUACUCGACCAGCGCCGACACAGGAAUGCCGUCUCGAGCGUCAUGCUCCUCUCCGAUGGCCAGGACAACUACAUCAUGAUGAGGCACCAGGAGUCGUCCGGCGUCCAGGCCAACGACUACGAGGACCUCGUCCCGACCACCUUCACGCGCACGUGUGCUGACGGUGAAUGGUCAGUGCCAAUCCACACUUUCGGCUUCGGCAAUGACCACGACGCGGCCGCGAUGUACAUCAUCGCCGAGGCUACAGGCGGCACGUUCUCGUUCGUCGAGAACGAGGCGGUGAUCCAGGACGCGUUCGCACAGUGCGUCGGCGGGCUGCUCUCUGUCGUGGUCCAGGAGGCUCGCAUCGUUGUCGCGUGUGUGCACCCCGGGGUCCGUGUCAUGUCGCUCAAGUCCGGCAGUUACGAGAGCCGCAUCGACAAGGAUGGCCGCGCCGCUACGGUCUGGGUCGGGGAACUAUACGCUGAUGAGGAGAGGCAUUUCUUGCUGAUCCUGACCGUGCCAAGAGCCGAAGCGACAGUCGGUGACACCACCGCUCUGUUGAAUGUGUCAUUCAGCUACAGAGAUGCGGCGACCGGCGCGGACGUGAGCGUGUCGGCCAAGGAUACAGUGGUGGCGAGGCCGGAGCACGCGGCGGACGCGGAGCGGUCGGUGGAGGUUGAGUGGGAGCGUGUCCGGGUAGAUGCGGCCGAGGACAUCGUGGCGGCGAGGGCAGCAGCUCAGCGGGGCGAGCACCAAGAGGCGGCGGCGAUACUCAAGAACCACCAACGUGCAGUGGCGCUGUCAGAGGCGGCGCGCGACGGCGCCCCCGUGACCGUGGCGCUAGAGGCCGAGCUGCAGGAGAUGCGCAGGCACGUGUCGAACCGGCAGAGCUACGCGCUGUCGGGUAGGGCGUACAUGCUCUCCGGCAUGAGCGCACACCAGCAACAACGCGCUACCUCGAGGCAGAUGAAUCUGGUGGAUGAGAUCUCGGUGGAAUCUAUGGCCGCACCGGCGGCGGCGCCGCCAGUAAAGUUGGCAUCGAACGAGCCGACAUUGUCGUACGCGACACCGGCUAUGCGCGCCAUGCUGCUGCGCUCGCGGAGGGCACGGGAGGCAUCAGCCGAGGGCAGAAGCUACAAGCUGAAGAAGAAUAUGCAGGAGGCUCCGAACACGGUCAGCCUACGCCACCACUGA